AUCCUGGCUCAGAUUGAACGCUGGCGGAAUGCUUUACACAUGCAAGUCGAACGGCAGCACGGACUUCGGUCUGGUGGCGAGUGGCGAACGGGUGAGUAAUACAUCGGAACGUACCUUAUCGUGGGGGAUAACGCAGCGAAAGCUGUGCUAAUACCGCAUACGCCCUGAGGGGGAAAGCGGGGGAUCGAAAGACCUCGCGCGAUUAGAGCGGCCGAUGCCUGAUUAGCUUGUUGGUGGGGUAAAAGCCCACCAAGGCGACGAUCAGUAGCUGGUCUGAGAGGACGAUCAGCCACACUGGGACUGAGACACGGACCCGACUCCUACGGGAGGCAGCAGUAAGGAAUAUUGGACAAUGGAGGGAACUCUGAUCCAGCCAUGCCGCGUGAAGGAUGAAGGCGCUCAGCGUUGUAAACUUCUUUUGGAUGGGAACAAUAACUUCUACGUGUAGGAGCUUGAGGGUACCAUCAGAAUAAGCACCGGCUAACUCCGUG
Molecule: ribosomal RNA, 491 nt
Filed under: uncultured bacterium
Lineage: Bacteria
Description: bacterial SSU rRNA
Rfam family: Bacterial small subunit ribosomal RNA
Source: RNAcentral